CGUGAAUUUUUGUAGAAAAUAACAUUUUCAGAAAAAAUUUACGUAGUGUGCGUCUAGGUUUGUCUGUUUGUACAUAUUGUUUUUGUGUAAUUUAAGUAUAGAUUUUAUAAAAUGUUAAGGCAACAAAGUAAAAUUUGUUUGGGACAAUAACAAUCCAUCAAUUGUAAAAAUGAGCCGAAAAGAAGAACUAGCAGUACUAAAUGUUGUAAACGAGAGCAGUACAAAAGGUCUUUAAACAGGAUACAUGCAUUCCUUAUAGAGCAGAAGGACGAACAAUUUAUUACUCAAAUUAAUCUCUUGAUUUCUGUUCCCAACCAAAAUUUGAGAGGCACUGUAAGGAAUGCAUGUGGAACUAAGCAAAAUGAAGGCAUUCCGUCAACGAGGUUGCCAAAUCGGUAGUUGAUAGGAACAACAGUUUAUCAGAGGUAGAGAAGCUGUUUUAUCUGCGGUCCUACUUAAAAGGUGAGGCAUUAGCUUUGGUUGCCAACCUACCCUUAAUUGACGAAUCAUAUAAAGAGGCGCUGUUAUUGUUGGACCAGAGGUACAACAAUGAAUCUGUUUUGGUAAGUUAUCAAAUUUAUAAGAUACUUGACAUACCACCAGUAACAAAAAGUACUAGCAAUAAUUUAAGGGAGUUUGUUUCAAACAUAAAGCAACAAGUUACUGCUCUUAAAAAUCUCGGGGAACCAACAGAUAGUUGGAAUACUAUUUUAGUAUGUUUAUUAUCAAGAAAAUUAGACCCGUACACAAACAAAUGUUUUCAAUUUGAUAGGGAUAAUUCAAAGCUACCAACUCUUACUGAAUUGCUUCAAUAUAUUGAAAAUAGAGCCCUAGCGUUAGAGUCUGUGACCACGGUUGACAAUGUAAAUAGUGUAAAUAUUAAAAAUACAGUCUAUUAUUUCAAGAACCGGCCACAACAGAAUAUAUGGGAACCAAGAUGAUAAGUGUUCUACACUCAACUCUGGUAUACCUGAAAGAUCUAAUGAACAACAAGCUAAUAUGCAGUUUCUACGGAUGCAACUGCGCUCUAGGAGGCCUAUAUCAACGCAACAAGUUGAAGAAAUUGCAACGAUCGCUCUAAGGUAUAACGGAAAGUUAGAAAAUUGUCGACCUGGCUAAAGCGGAUUCCCAAGGCAGUCGUACGUAGUAGUUUUGCAAUCGGUUGCGUGUAUGCGUCGUCUAGCGCAAUUUUUCAAGUUUACAGUCAUAUUUACGUCGCUGGUCAAAAAUAAUAUGGAUGUUGUUCAUGAACAAAGGGUUAACAUUAAAUUCUUUGUUAAACUUGGGAAAAACUUGUGUGACGAGUCAUGGGUAUGAUCUAGAAACAAAACGCCAGAGUUGUGAAUGGAAAGGACCUGGAGAGCCACGACGAAAAAACGCACGAAAGGAAAAAUCAAAACGAUGAUUACCGUCUUUUUUGAUUGUCAGGGCAUUGUUCAUAUGGAAUUUUU
Long non-coding RNA from Anthonomus grandis grandis, 1451 nucleotides. RefSeq lists it as uncharacterized. The record is from RefSeq and is a predicted model, not a curated record. The transcript is spliced from 2 exons. NCBI's taxonomy places the organism in Eukaryota, Metazoa, Arthropoda, Insecta, Coleoptera, Curculionidae.